This is a non-coding RNA of Cherax quadricarinatus, 1628 nucleotides long. Lineage: Eukaryota; Metazoa; Arthropoda; Malacostraca; Decapoda; Parastacidae. The record is from RefSeq and is a predicted model, not a curated record.
UAGAGGUAGAUGGGUCCAGGAUAAAGCCUAGGCCUAUAUAAAUAAGCGAGACAGGGCAGCGUGGACGUCAGAGACAGGCCUGCUUCCCAGCCUACCCUGAGCCUGCUGUCUCAAGCACUCUCCGUCACCCACUCCGUCACCCUCUGCAUCAAGCGCCAUCCUCUCCGUUACUCUCUGCGUUAUCCGCCGUGACGUUCAGUGAGUCAUCCACAGCGUCAUCUACUUUGAUUUACAGUGCGUCAUCCACUGCGUCACCCAUUGCGUCGUCCACUGCUCCACUUCGCUACGGCUAUGCAUUUUAACGGAGUCUUGAUCCUGGCGGUAGGAGCGCUGCUACUGCUGCUGCAGGAGGCCACAGCGGCGGAGGACGGCACAGCCUCCAGGAAAGCUCACCGCCAGCAACGUCUCCGAGAGCCUCAACAGCAUCGCCGACAGCAUCGCCGACAGCAUCGACAAACCGUUUGAAGGGAUCGUCCUCCCGGACAACGCUCUCAGCAUCGGCUUUGAGUCCAUCGGCAUUUUCUUGUUGCUGGCCGGCGUGGUUGCCUUCACCGCUGUCUUCGUGUUGGGUGUUGACAAGACCGCUGCUCAGGACUUCCUCUCCUCCGCUUCGACAGCAUACCUCACCCCCAGCACCGGGUAUGCCUCCUCCUCUAGCAGGUAUGCCCAGCAGGAGACAUACAACGUCCACAGGAACAUUGACAGGGCAGCAUCGAAGUACCAGUGAGAUCGACCCGUCACCCGGGGACCCAGAGGCGGAGCGCUCCUGAAGGGGACGUGAAGAAGUGCCUCAACUUCCAGAUGCUAUUAGAUCGUCCACGCUUGGAGACCCUGAGGGCUUCUGUGAGUUAGGAAGACACCCAUCGUUCGGGACCCUGAAGGCGACCUGUUAUUGUGACGACAACCUUCCACUCAGGAUUUUCCCUAAGGACGUCCUUGUGAUGCUGAGCUCGACCUCUCCGACCUUCACACUUGAGAGUGACCUAAAUCUUCACGUACUUCUGGAAUUUUCACACUUAAGAGUGACCUAAACACUCUUUGCUCAUCUGUCUCCCUUAUUGAAGUUGAUUAACUUAUUAAGUAGUAAAGUGUAAAUAAAGUACUGAAUAAUAACGAUGUUUUGAUACCUAAUAAAAGCAGCAGAAGUCUAAUUAUUAAUUGAUUUUGAGGUCAUAAAGGCUUGUUUUGCGUGCUUCCUGUCACGCUCGAUUCUAUUUGGGUGAGACUACGAGCAUUGCCGGUAUGUAAUUAUAUUUCAGGAGAAGCGCUAAAUCUGUACAGGGUCAUACAGAGGUCUGAGGAUGGGAGGCAUUCAGGUUUGAUCCGGGGAAGGGGAGGUAAAAAUAAAGUUCAAUUCCAUGGAUCAACAGCCCCUCACCAAUACCAAGGAACUUCUCAUGAGGGCGGGGGAGGGGUAUGUGUGUUCUGUCUGUCUCUCUGUCACAGAAAUAUAGAGACAAUAGUAAUGAAAGAUGGACUAAAUUCUCUCGAUGGCAUUAGGAUUAGAAUAUGGACAGCUAUGGGAGUUGGACGAGUGCGGGAGUGAACUGGACGAGUGUCGGAGUUGGAGGGGUCUUAGAGUGAGCUGAAGGGGUCUUGGAGUGAGUUGAAGGAGUGUUUGGAGUAAG